AUGCCAGGCCGCAUGGGCUAUGUGGACUCCAACAGCCUCUUGGGACAGAUCCACUGGAGGCCAGUCAGCCAUUAUUCCCCAACCUGCAGUGAUGAUGAUGGUGAUGGUAGUGAUGAUGGUGGAGGUGGUGGUGCUGGUGUUGGUGGUGGUGGUGGUGAUGGUGGAGGUGGAGGUGGAGGUGGAGGUGGUGGUGCUGGUGUUGGUGGUGGUGAUGGUGGAGGUGGAGGUGGAGGUGGAGGUGGAGGUGGUGGUGGUAGUGGUGGUGCUGGUGCUGGUGUUGGUGGUGGAGGUGGAGGUGGUUGUGAGGAUGCUGGUGGUGGUGGUGAUGGUGGAGGUGGAGGUGGAGGUGGUGGUGCUGGUGUUGGUGGUGGUGAUGGUGGAGGUGGAGGUGGAGGUGGAGGUGGAGGUGGAGGUAGUGGUGGUAGUGGUGGUGCUGGUGCUGGUGGUGGUGGUGAUGGUGGAGGUGGAGGUGGGUGUGGUGGUGGUAGUGGUGGUGCUGGUGCUGGAGGUGGUGGUGCUGGUGGUGGUAAUGGUGGUGGAGGUGGAGGUGAUGGUGGAGGUGGUGAUGGUGAUGAUGCUGGUGGUGGAGGUGGAGGUGGUGGUGAGGAUGCUGGUACUGGAGGUGGUAGUGGGGAUGCUGGUGGUGAUGGUGGAGGUGGAGGUGGAGGUGGAGGUAGUGGUGGUAGUGAUGAUGCUGGUGCUGGAGGAGGCGGAGGCGGAGGCGCCACACUGACAGCCCAGGGUCCCCGAGCCCAGCUCCAGGCCCGCCAGGCAAAGCCCGGGAAGGCCUCUCCGGCCCGUCCUCCCCCGAUCCCGUCGCUCCGUGACCCGCCGCCUUUCCAGACGGGAAACAGGCUGGACCGUUCUGCUGAGGCGUCCCGACGGCCGGGGUGGGAGGGUCGGCGGGGUCGGCUCCGCUCGCGGCUCAAGGCCGCCCCCCGCCCCCCGCCCCCCGCGACCCCUGCGACCCCCCGCGACCCCGCCCCCCGGAAGCCGCCGACACCCCCAGAAGCAGCCCCGGCCUCGUGGCCCGCUCCCCGCCCGCCCCUGCGAAGCCCCGGCCGCACCUGCAGCCGCCGAGCGUCCCGGGGACGGUGGCGUCGGCUCCCAACACCGAGUCCAUCGCGGGCGCGGGCGCGGGCGCGGCGGCGCUCCCCGGGUCCCCGGGUCCCCGCCCCUCCAGCCCUGCUCCGGGUCGGACGCCGGCGGCGCCGCUGGAAUUCAAACCGCAGCCGCCGCCAUCUUUCCCGGCGCUUCUUCCUACGGAAACGGGGCGGGGCCACGGAGGCGCGCGCUGAAGCCGCCCGGCGGCGGCCGGAGGCCGGGCAGCGGAGCGCGGGCGGGUGCCAUCUCGGUUAA
RNAcentral lists this long non-coding RNA (1359 nucleotides) under Canis lupus familiaris (dog). RNAcentral's name for it is "lncRNA (ENSCAFG00030020988.1)". The record is from RNAcentral. Lineage: Eukaryota; Metazoa; Chordata; Mammalia; Carnivora; Canidae.